RNA transcript from Solea senegalensis (Senegalese sole), 4891 nucleotides. It is a transcript of the gene named integrin, alpha 7, with no coding region annotated. The transcript is spliced from 26 exons. The record is from RefSeq and is a predicted model, not a curated record. Lineage: Eukaryota; Metazoa; Chordata; Actinopteri; Pleuronectiformes; Soleidae.
AUGCAUUGAUAGAAACGCACACACACACACUGACACACACAUUCUAGUAGCAGCCACAUUUUCACAGCCUGCUCUUCAGACUGACAGCAGCAAACGGAGUUGAGAGCCAGCACUGCAGAGCAACCGAGGAUUGGAAACAAGGGAGGCAUCUACAGGAAAGGGAAGGAGACUUUGACAGGAUUUGCCCUUUUUUAUUUUUUGCCUCUUUGCUCUCUGGGAGCCAUUGAAGGAAUCUUCUCUAUACUCUUUUAAACUGAACUAAAGGACCUGCACCCAGUUAUGGCAGUGGGACAUGGGAACAUGGCCUCCCUCUUAUCUGGCUGGACUACCCUCCUCUGGGUGCUGUUGACCCUUUCAAACCAGGUCUGGGGCUUCAACCUGGAUACGACCCACACUCUGCAUAAGUUGGGAGACCAUGGUACAUUUUUUGGUUUCUCUCUAGCACUUCACCAACAGAUUACCCCAGAGCCUCAGAGCUGGAUCCUGGUGGGGGCGCCACAGGCAGCUGGACUAGGCUCCUUGCGUGGCAGUCGACCAGGAGCCCUGUUCAGGUGUCCAAUCACACCAGAGGAGUACGACUGUGAGAGGGUGGAUAUAGAUGGAGAUGUGAGCCUGGACAGAGAGAGCAAAGACAACCAGUGGUUGGGAGUUACUGUCAAAAGUCAGGGGAUUGGAGGGAAGGUGGUGACUUGUGCUCACCUGUAUGAGCUCAGGCAACGUGUAAGUCAACCUUCAGAGACCCGGGACCCCAUUGGACGCUGCUACGUCCUGAGUGAGGACCUGACAGAGAGAGAUGACCUGGAUGGAGGGGAGUGGAAGUUCUGCGAGGGUCGGCCACAGGGACACGAGCAGUUUGGUUUCUGCCAGCAGGGCCUGUCUGUCAGUUUCACCCCAGACAACAACUUCAUUCUGUUUGGGGCUCCUGGGACAUACAACUGGAAAGGUGAGAUGCGGGUCCAGCUCCUAAACCAGACUCUGCUUGACCUCGGUUUCUAUGACGAUGGACCAUACGAGGUGGCAGAUCAGAAACAACUUAAUGCUCAGCUCAUCCCUCUGCCUUACCACAGUUACCUGGGGUUUUCUGUGGACUCUGCCUUAGGGAUAAUGGCUCUCGGAGAGCUGACCUUUGUGGCGGGUGCACCCCGGGCCAAUCAUACAGGGGCAGUGGUGCUUCUGAAGAAGGACAAUGUCUACCGGCUGGUGCCUCAGCACAUUUUCUGGGGGGAGGAGCUGGCGUCUUCAUUUGGCUACUCUGUAACUACAACGGAUCUAAACAGGGACGGCUGGACGGACAUUAUUGUUGGAGCUCCUAACUUUUUCGACCGUAAGGCAGAGAUCGGUGGAGCUGUUUAUGUUUACUUGAACCCUUUUGGUCACUGGGAAGAUCACGCCCGCCCAAUUCGCCUCAAUGGGACGUACGACUCCAUGUUUGGGAUGACGGUCAGUAGUAUUGGCGAUCUGGACCAAGAUGGAUACGGAGAUAUUGCUGUUGGUGCACCAUUUGAUGGAGAUGGCAAAGUUUUCAUCUACAGAGGAUCAGGUUCUGGAAUUGAGACUAAACCUGCUCAGGUAUUGGACGGUCGUGACUUUGAUGUCAGACGCUUUGGAUACUCCAUCUCAGGCGGUCUGGAUGUUGACAAUAACCACUAUCCAGACAUAGCAGUAGGCUCUCUUAACGAUUCCGUGGUUCUCUUCAGGUCUCGUCCUGUCAUUCACGUGAACAGAGAAGUAUCAAUUGAUCCAUAUCACAUUGAUCUGGAGCAGCACAACUGCAAGGGCAGACAGGGAGUGUGUGUGGAGGUCAAGGCCUGCUUCAUCUUCACAGCUCACCCACAACACUACUCCCCACACAUUACCCUGGUGGUGCACUUUGAAGCCGACACAGAGCGCAGGAAGUUGGGCCUCCCGCACAGAGUUAAUUUCCUGGGCCGCAGUUCACUAGAACCCGAGUAUACUCAGACAGAAGAAGUGGAGCUUCAUCGGCAGCUUCACCCCGCGUGCACCACUGCCGUCUUCCAGCUCCAUGAGAACAUCAGGGACAAACUGCGUCCCAUUUCAUUGGCAGUAACCCAUACUAUCAAGUCUGUGCCACCACGCAGACACUCAGGUGCCAAACGUCUGGAGAAGCUGGCGCCUGUGCUGAAUGUUUCACCUUCUAAUACGCUGCACUCUGAGGUGAACUUCCUGCGUCAAGGAUGUGGCGUAGACAAAAUCUGCCAGAGCAACCUGCAGCUGAGCUACCAAUUUGGAACACGACCCCUGACCUCUGAUCUCUUCACUCCUUUGCCAAAAGAUGAGGACGACGUGCAGGUGUUUUCCCUGUCAGACCAGCGACUGGUGGUACUGGAGAUUACUGUCACCAACAUGCCCUCUGACCCUCUUCUCCCCGACGAGGACGGGGAUGACGCUCACGCUGCUCAGUUGAAUAUUACCCUUCCAAACACGCUGUCAUAUGCUGGUUCCAGGGUCCCAGCGCAGAUGAGAUGUCAAGCGAACCAGAAUGGCUCCCAAGUUGAAUGUGACCUCGGAAACCCCGUCAAGCGAAAUACUAAGCUGAAAUUCUCUAUUAACUUGAGCACAUCAAACAUCACCAUUGAGACCACAGAGUUGACGGCAGAUCUCUUAUUGACAACUAUCAGUGAGCAGCCUGACCUGGUGCCGGUCACUGCGUUUGCUAAGGUUGUGAUAGAGCUCCCUCUGUCUGUCAGUGGGCUCGCUCGGCCACACCAGCUGUUCUUCAGUGGGACAGUGAAGGGAGAGAGUGCCAUGACUAGUCUGGAGGACAUAGGCAGCCCUGUGGAUUUUGAGUUUGUGGUGGCUAAUCCAGGACAAGCCCUGCAGACACUCGGCUCCGCCUUUCUGAACAUCAUGUGGCCUUACGAGCUGGCCAAUGAGAAAUGGCUCCUGUAUCCCGCAAGCCUGAGGUUUGAGGGUCACCCUGACACACACUGCACUCCCACAGAGGCCUUGAAUCCUUUAAAGCUACAGAGCUCAUCGCAGUCUGGCGGGAUUGUGAGAACAAGGCGCUCACACUCAGAAGACGAAGGUCAAGUGAUGACAAAAGGCAGCGUGGGACGAACCACUCCAGCUGUGGCAGCGUCAGAGAGACGCAAGUCGCUCAAACUGGAUUGUCUCUUGGGAUCAGCACGUUGUGUCCUCUUCCAGUGUCCCCUGCACAGCUUCUCUGGUCAGGCUGUCCUCAAGGUUCAUGCCAGACUGUGGAACAGCAGUUUCAUAGAGGAGUUCCCUGCUGUUAGUGCUCUGGAGCUGCUGGUCAGAGCCAACAUCACUGUCAAGUCCAGCAUCAAGCACUUGGUCCUCAAGGAUGCUGCUGCACAGGUUCCUGUCAUGAUCUACCCUGAACCUGGUUUGGCUGACCAGUACCGGAUCCCGUGGUGGAUCAUCCUCAUAGCCGUAUUGGCAGGCAUCCUGCUGCUGACUCUGCUCAUCUGCAUACUGUGGAAGUGUGGGUUCUUCAAACGCAGUGAGCGGCGCCCACACUAUGAGACGGAGUACUACCGUGCCCAUUUGGGGGUCCAACCCUCGGAGGCGGAGAAGCAGGCAUCAGAACUAUAAUAGAAAUGAUUAUUUUACUCUGGCCUGUUCUCCCCUCCUCUCCCUCAAAGCGUGUGGCUUCUUCCAGCGGGCCCACUACAAAGACAAACUGCCUCAGUACCACGCCGUGAAGAUUCCCCGCGAGGACAGGCCACAGUUCCAGACUGAGAAGUCCGGAGUUGUCCAUAAAAAGGAAUGGGCCACACACUGGAGCGAUGGGACCUCGUAACUCUCCUUCAAGCACUGACUGACUGAAUUUAUUAAAAUCAACAUGUGUGGCACUCAUUUUGUCUUUGCAUUGGAACUGAUGGACUAAAAAAAAAAAGGUGCACAUUGACUGAGAUCAUGAAAAUCUUGUGCACACUGUACUGCAUCAGUACAUACAUACAUACACUGGUGGCCUGUUACACUGGAUCUGUGUCCUUCCAUACUGCAGCCCCACUGGUGGAUAGUCUCUUUAUACUGUGCAUCUUUAUCAGUGCUUCACAGCAAAUACCAUGUCACCACUCAAGUGGUUUAAAGUAUUUCACAACCUGCACAGGGAGCACUGAUGCUCAUAGUCUGGCACAACAAAGGAGAACCGAGAAAUCACAACUCAAAGACAUGCAUGAAUGCACAGAACCUACAGUACAAUAUUAGAUGCGUUCAUACACACUGGACAUUGAUGAUGAAGAAGCCACUGCCCACUACAUUUUUGCCUUAACUACUGUAUAUUGAUAUCAUGUUAUUGGGAAUUUCUUUUAGUUUUAGCACGGCAAGAAUACAACGAGAAUAUUGUGUCAGAAUGUUGCAGAGCACUGAAUGUGUAUUUUUUUGGGGCUUGCAGAUGAAAAAGACUUAAUUAGUUAACCUGAUGGUUUAAUGUAUUUCCUUGUUCCAGGAAAAUAAAAGCGACUAAAUGAGGAGCCUCUUCGGAUUAGAUAUUGUGCAUUUUUUUUUGGUAAUAUGUCAAUCAGACGUACUGUACAUCGGUCGUCAAUUGUCUAAGCAAACUUGAUUCAACAAGGAAAUCAUAAUCGAGCGUAUAAUAGCAAUGGCUGUAGCACUGUUUUUGCAUGCAAACCAAAUGUGUCAGACGAGUGAAGCAAUAUUAAACAUGUGCUCAGUUUAAACAUUGAUUUUCUAAUGGGUAUCCCAGCUAAUAAAGGCACUAAUUUCCCCCCAAUGUUUACAAUUAUGCUCAAAUUACACUACUGUGUAUGACUGAAUUUACCUCGCAAGGUCCUCAAGUGAAGCAAUUAUUUUUUUUUGUGUCAUCAGGUAACAUUUUGACAUUUGUACAAAUGCUUUUUAGUUGAAGUGUAUUAAACCUGCUUGAAGCAGUGAUUCUGACUGA